RNAcentral lists this ribosomal RNA (467 nucleotides) under uncultured bacterium. RNAcentral describes it as "partial 16S ribosomal RNA". It matches the Rfam family "Bacterial small subunit ribosomal RNA", at positions 28 to 523 of the family's 1533-position model. The record is from RNAcentral.
GACGAACGCUGGCGGCGUGCUUAACACAUGCAAGUCGAGCGAGAAACUUCGGUUUCUAGCGGCGGACGGGUGAGUAACACGUGGGCAGCCUGCCUCACAAUGGGGGAUAGCCUUCCGAAAGGAAGAUUAAUACCGCAUAACACAAAGGAAACGCAUGUUUCUUUUGCCAAAGAAUUUCGUUGUGAGAUGGGCCCGCGGCGCAUUAGCUUGUUGGUGAGGUAACGGUUCACCAAGGCGACGAUGCGUAGCCGACCUGAGAGGGUGAUCGGCCACAUUGGAACUGAUACACGGUCCAGACUCCUACGGGAGGCAGCAGUGGGGAAUAUUGCACAAUGGAGGAAACUCUGAUGCAGCAACGCCGCGUGAGUGAUGAAGGUCUUCGGAUUGUAAAGCUCUGUCUUCUGGGACGAUAAUGACGGUACCAGAGGAGGAAGCCACGGCUAACUACGUGCCAGCCGCCGCCGUAA